This 345-nucleotide unclassified non-coding RNA is filed under the name soil metagenome. RNAcentral describes it as "partial contains 5.8S ribosomal RNA, internal transcribed spacer 2, and large subunit ribosomal RNA". The stretch from base 1 to 120 matches the Rfam family "5.8S ribosomal RNA", at positions 35 to 154 of the family's 154-position model. The record is from RNAcentral.
GAUGAAGAACGUAGCGAAAUGCGAUACGUAAUGUGAAUUGCAGAAUUCAGUGAAUCAUCGAGUCUUUGAACGCACAUUGCGCCCCCUGGUAUUCCGGGGGGCAUGCCUGUCCGAGCGUCAUUGCUGCCCUCAAGCAAGGCUUGUGUGUUGGGCCUCCGUCCUCCUCCCGGGGGACGGGCCCGAAAGGCAGCGGCGGCACCGCGUCCGGUCCUCGAGCGUAUGGGGCUUCGUCACCCGCUCUUGUAGGCCCGGCCGGCGCUUGCCGACACAUCAAUCUUUUUUCCAGGUUGACCUCGGAUCAGGUAGGGAUACCCGCUGAACUUAAGCAUAUCAAUAAGCGGAGGA